This 492-nucleotide ribosomal RNA is filed under the name uncultured bacterium. RNAcentral describes it as "partial 16S ribosomal RNA". It matches the Rfam family "Bacterial small subunit ribosomal RNA", at positions 28 to 507 of the family's 1533-position model. The record is from RNAcentral.
GAUGAACGCUAGCUACAGGCUUAACACAUGCAAGUCGAGGGGAAACGACAUCGAAAGCUUGCUUUUGAUGGGCGUCGACCGGCGCACGGGUAAGUAACGCGUAUCCAACCUGCCCAUCACUUGGGAAUAACCUUGCGAAAGUAAGACUAAUACCCAAUGACAUCCCACGAAGACAUCUGAAUGGGAUUAAAGAUUUAUCGGUGAUGGAUGGGGAUGCGUCUGAUUAGCUUGUUGGCGGGGUAACGGCCCACCAAGGCAACGAUCAGUAGGGGUUCUGAGAGGAAGGUCCCCCACAUUGGAACUGAGACACGGUCCAAACGCCUACGGGAGGCAGCAGUGAGGAAUAUUGGUCAAUGGGCGAGAGCCUGAACCAGCCAAGUAGCGUGCAGGAGGACGGCCCUAUGGGUUGUAAACUGCUUUUAUAAGGGAAUAAAGUGGGUCUCGGGAGACUUUUUGCAUGUACCUUAUGAAUAAGGACCGGCUAAUUCCGUG